Molecule: ribosomal RNA, 1501 nt
Filed under: uncultured bacterium
Lineage: Bacteria
Description: 16S ribosomal RNA
Rfam family: Bacterial small subunit ribosomal RNA
Source: RNAcentral
GAGUUUGAUCCUGGCUCAGAUUGAACGCUGGCGGCAUGCUUUACACAUGCAAGUCGAACGGUAACAGGCCUUCGGGCGCUGACGAGUGGCGAACGGGUGAGUAAUGCAUCGGAACGUGCCCAGUCGUGGGGGAUAACUGCUCGAAAGAGCAGCUAAUACCGCAUACGAUCUAUGGAUGAAAGCGGGGGACCGUAAGGCCUCGCGCGAUUGGAGCGGCCGAUGUCAGAUUAGGUAGUUGGUGGGGUAAAGGCUCACCAAGCCAACGAUCUGUAGCUGGUCUGAGAGGACGACCAGCCACACUGGGACUGAGACACGGCCCAGACUCCUACGGGAGGCAGCAGUGGGGAAUUUUGGACAAUGGGGGCAACCCUGAUCCAGCAAUGCCGCGUGCAGGAAGAAGGCCUUCGGGUUGUAAACUGCUUUUGUACGGAACGAAACGGUCUGGGUUAAUACCCUGGGCUAAUGACGGUACCGUAAGAAUAAGCACCGGCUAACUACGUGCCAGCAGCCGCGGUAAUACGUAGGGUGCGAGCGUUAAUCGGAAUUACUGGGCGUAAAGCGUGCGCAGGCGGUUUUGUAAGACAGGCGUGAAAUCCCCGGGCUCAACCUGGGAAUGGCGCUUGUGACUGCAAGGCUGGAGUGCGGCAGAGGGGGAUGGAAUUCCGCGUGUAGCAGUGAAAUGCGUAGAUAUGCGGAGGAACACCGAUGGCGAAGGCAAUCCCCUGGGCCUGCACUGACGCUCAUGCACGAAAGCGUGGGGAGCAAACAGGAUUAGAUACCUGGUAGUCACGCCCUAAACGAUGUCAACUGGUUGUGGGUCUUUGCUGACUGGACCCAUACGAGUACGCGUGAAGUGACCGCCUGGGGAGUACGGCCGCAAGGUUGAAACUCAAAGGAUCUGCGGACCCGCACAAGCGGUGGAUGAUGUGGUUUAAUUCGAUGCAACGCGAAAAACCUUACCCACCUUUGACAUGUAGACAAGGAGUGCAGAGAGCUUCGUGCUCGAAAGAGAGCCGUAACACAGGUGCCUGCAUGCCUGUCGUCAGCUCGUGUCGUGAGAUGUUGGGUUAAGUCCCGCAACGAGCGCGGAGCCUUGCCAUUAGUUGCUACGAAAGGGGGGCAGGCUCUCUAUAGGGCUCUCGAGGUCACAACACGGAGGAAGGUGGGGGGGGGGGGGCCAAAUCCUCUUCAGCUGUCAUGUCCUUAUAGGUGGGCUACACACGUCAUACAAAUGGCCGGUACAAAAAGGCAGCCAACCCGCGAGGGGGAGCCAAUCCCCAUAAAGCCGGUCGUAGUCCGGAUCGCAGUCUGCAACUCGACUGCGUGAAGUCGGAAUCGCUAGUAAUCGUGGAUCAGCAUGUCACGGUGAAUACGUUCCCGGGUCUUGUAUUUUUUUAAGAAUCACACCAUGGGAGCGGGUCUCGCCAGAAGUAGUUAGCCUAACCGCAAGGAGGGCGAUUACCACGGCAUCUCGUGACUGGGGUGAAGUCGUAACAAGGUA